AACGAACGCUGGCGGCAGGCCUAACACAUGCAAGUCGAGCGAGGACUUCGGUUCUAGCGGCGGACGGGUGAGUAACGCGUGGGAAUGUGCCCUUCUCUACGGAAUAGCCCUGGGAAACUGGGAGUAAUACCGUAUACGCCCUAUUAGGGAAAGAUUUAUCGGAGAAGGAUCAGCCCGCGUUGGAUUAGGUAGUUGGUGGGGUAAUGGCCUACCAAGCCGACGAUCCAUAGCUGGUUUGAGAGGAUGAUCAGCCACACUGGGACUGAGACACGGCCCAGACUCCUACGGGAGGCAGCAGUGGGGAAUCUUAGACAAUGGGGGCAACCCUGAUCUAGCCAUGCCGCGUGAGUGAUGAAGGCCUUAGGGUUGUAAAGCUCUUUCAGCUGGGAAGAUAAUGACGGUACCAGCAGAAGAAGCCCCGGCUAACUCCGUG
Molecule: ribosomal RNA, 433 nt
Filed under: uncultured bacterium
Lineage: Bacteria
Description: partial 16S ribosomal RNA
Rfam family: Bacterial small subunit ribosomal RNA
Source: RNAcentral